UACGUAGGUGGCAAGCGUUGUCCGGAUUUACUGGGCGUAAAGAGCGCGCAGGCGGUCGUUCAAGUCGCGUGUGAAAGCCCCCGGCUCAACUGGGGAGGGUCACGCGAUACUGAUCGACUCGAAGGCAGGAGAGGGUAGUGGAAUUCCCGGUGUAGUGGUGAAAUGCGUAGAUAUCGGGAAGAACACCCGUGGCUAAGGCGGUUCUCUAGUACGGUACUGACGCUGAGACGCGAAAGCGUGGGGAGCGAACAGG
This 253-nucleotide ribosomal RNA is filed under the name uncultured bacterium. RNAcentral describes it as "partial 16S ribosomal RNA". It matches the Rfam family "Bacterial small subunit ribosomal RNA", at positions 524 to 776 of the family's 1533-position model. The record is from RNAcentral.